This 703-nucleotide long non-coding RNA is filed under the name Gossypium barbadense (sea-island cotton). RNAcentral's name for it is "long non-coding RNA (GBAR_LNC016932)". Lineage: Eukaryota; Viridiplantae; Streptophyta; Magnoliopsida; Malvales; Malvaceae. The record is from RNAcentral.
CCCUUUGUCCUUUAAGCUAGAAUUGUUUACACCCUCAGGGGGACCACGUCACUAGUUCUAAAGCAUUGGCGCACUGAACCCACUCCAAAACGCGCGCGCGUGAAAGACACUCUGAUAGAGUUGUUGGCAAAAAAAAUAUCUAAACCAAUUGGGACCAUGAGGUGUAGCAAAAAGAAGAUAGAACCAGAGCCAUGUGGGAUCCCAUCUCAUGAACCAAGGAAAUAUCAAAGCCGUCCUGAUUCGAGCCACGACACCCCCGCUCCGUCACUGUAAAUUGUCAAAGGCAUCCAUUGUAUAUUACGGUUCUACCCCAUAACUUUGUUUAGAAAAAAAGAUAAAAAGAAACACAGCUAAAGUGGUAAGGCAGCAAAACAAACCCAGCUCAGCCAUUUGCCCCUCAUAUAUUCCCUCUCUGCCUGCUUCUCCUUUUUUCAGCUCAGAAAGAAGGAAACCUUUUCUCCAGCAGAGAAACAAAGGGUCAGUUUCUAUCUUUUUGAUGAAAUGGAGGCUGACAGUAAUCCUAAAAUAGUUGCGCCAUUCGUUGCGAAAACUUACCAGAUGGUUAAUGAUCCCAUGACUGACGGUUUGAUCACAUGGGGUAAAGCUAAUAACAGUUUCAUAGUCAUCGACCCUUUAGAUUUCUCUCAAAGGAUCUUGCCUGUUUACUUCAAGCAUAGCAAUUUUUCUAGCUUCGUUCGCCAGC